UCUCGACUCAUUCCCUGACUAUGAGAAGGGAUUGAGUGACGAUUCGUUUAGCAACCUUGUGACCCAGCAUGACACCGUGAACAAGAUUGGUCGACCGUCUGCUGGGAUAUCAUUUAUAUAACACGUUGUCUGAUAAAGGAGCAAUAGCUUCCUCAAUGGAUCCGUACGGUCAUCAGCUCUGCCAUGUAUCACAGACCACCUGGCUGUGUACGUCUCCUGACUGCCACCUCACUUUCCUGUUCAACAAAGGCUGGUCCAGUCUGACCUGUCCUUGGGUCUUUUGAUCCAUCUGUAUAUUGGGGCGACAGGGUAGCCUAGUGGUUAGUGUUGGACUAGCAACCGGAAGGUUGCAAGUUCAAAUCCCCGACUUGACAAGGUACAACUCUGUCAUUCUGCCCCUGAAGAGGCAGUUAACCCACUCUUCCAAGGACGUCAUUGAAAAUAAGAAUUUGUUCUUAACUGACUUGCCUAGUUAAAUAAAGUUUUUAAAAAAAUACAUGUGAAAAAAAAUAAAGUAGUUUUGAAAGGUAAUGACUGGUAUAAUACAUAUGGUGGAAACUAGCCCAUGCCUCCACCAACCCAAUACUAUUAGAUUAGUAGGAAGUUGUGAACGAUUGAACAUUUAAGCAAAAAGGUGAUAUUCUAGGGAUGCACCCAAAUUAGAGGUGUGGACUAAAUUAAUAAAAUAUUUGGUUUAAUGAUACUGUUUAAUAUUUAUUGUGGC
This is a long non-coding RNA of Oncorhynchus gorbuscha (pink salmon), 724 nucleotides long. RefSeq lists it as uncharacterized. The transcript has 3 exons. The record is from RefSeq and is a predicted model, not a curated record. NCBI's taxonomy places the organism in Eukaryota, Metazoa, Chordata, Actinopteri, Salmoniformes, Salmonidae.